RNAcentral lists this unclassified non-coding RNA (215 nucleotides) under uncultured Bryobacterales bacterium. RNAcentral's name for it is "contains 16S-23S intergenic spacer region". It matches the Rfam family "Bacterial small subunit ribosomal RNA", at positions 986 to 1201 of the family's 1533-position model. Lineage: Bacteria; Pseudomonadati; Acidobacteriota; Terriglobia; Bryobacterales. The record is from RNAcentral.
UCGCGGCUUCUCAACGCCGGUAGAAAUACCGGUACCCCGCAAGGGGGUGGAGUCGAGGUGCUGCAUGGCUGUCGUCAGCUCGUGUCGUGAGAUGUUGGGUUAAGUCCCGCAACGAGCGCAACCCUUGUCCUGUGUUGCCAUGUCGAAAGACGGAACUCGCAGGAGACCGCCAGGGAUAACCUGGAGGAAGGUGGGGAUGACGUAGACCUUGGACC